Molecule: ribosomal RNA, 468 nt
Filed under: uncultured bacterium
Lineage: Bacteria
Description: partial 16S ribosomal RNA
Rfam family: Bacterial small subunit ribosomal RNA
Source: RNAcentral
GACGAACGCUGGCGGCGUGCUUAACACAUGCAAGUCGAACGGAAAGGCCCUGCUUUUGUGGGGUGCUCGAGUGGCGAACGGGUGAGUAACACGUGAGUAACCUGCCCUUGACUUUGGGAUAACUUCAGGAAACUGGGUCUAAUACCGGAUAGGAGCUCCUGCUGCAUGGUGGGGGUUGGAAAGUUUCGGCGGUUGGGGAUGGACUCGCGGCUUAUCAGCUUGUUGGUGGGGUAGUGGCUUACCAAGGGUUUGACGGGUAGCCGGCCUGAGAGGGUGACCGGCCACAUUGGGACUGAGAUACGGCCCAGAAUGCUACGGGAGGCAGCAGUGGGGAAUAUUGCACAAUGGGGGGAAGCCUGAGGCAGCAACGCCGCGUGCGGGAUGACGGCCUUCGGGUUGUAAACCGCUGUCGCCUGUGACGAAGCGUGAGUGACGGUAAUGGGUAAAGAAGCACCGGCUAACUACGUG